Molecule: ribosomal RNA, 497 nt
Filed under: uncultured bacterium
Lineage: Bacteria
Description: partial 16S ribosomal RNA
Rfam family: Bacterial small subunit ribosomal RNA
Source: RNAcentral
GAUGAACGCUGGCGGCGUUCCUAAUACAUGCAAGUCGAGCGAACAGACGAGGAGCUUGCUCCUUUGACGUUAGCGGCGGACGGGUGAGUAACACGUAGGUAACCUACCUAUAAGACUGGGAUAACUUCGGGAAACCGGAGCUAAUACCGGAUAAUAUUUCGAACCGCAUGGUUCGAUAGUGAAAGAUGGCUUUGCUAUCACUUAUAGAUGGACCUGCGCCGUAUUAGCUAGUUGGUAAGGUAACGGCUUACCAAGGCAACGAUACGUAGCCGACCUGAGAGGGUGAUCGGCCACACUGGAACUGAGGCACGGUCCAGACUCCUACGGGAGGCAGCAGUAGGGAAUCUUCCGCAAUGGGCGAAAGCCUGACGGAGCAACGCCGCGUGAGUGAUGAAGGUCUUCGGAUCGUAAAACUCUGUUAUUAGGGAAGAACAAACGUGUAAGUAACUGUGCACGUCUUGACGGUACCUAAUCAGAAAGCCACGGCUAACUACGUG